RNAcentral lists this unclassified non-coding RNA (224 nucleotides) under Hevea brasiliensis (rubber tree). The record is from RNAcentral. Lineage: Eukaryota; Viridiplantae; Streptophyta; Magnoliopsida; Malpighiales; Euphorbiaceae.
AAUCAUGUAAUAAUCUCUUUAUAAAGAGAUCAAAUUAUGAGUAAAAUAUCAAGCAAAUUAUCUCAAUUGUUCUGUAAGGUUUGAAACUCUCUUUUAACGAGUCUUGAGGUUCUGGGCUCCCUCCGACAAGUCCUACUUUUCUGUACCGCAACAAGGCAAAGGCUACAGGUUCUGAGAAAGACUUUGUAGUUCAUCGCCCUGUGACUCGAUCCUUGACUCGUGAA